This 1108-nucleotide long non-coding RNA is filed under the name Oncorhynchus mykiss (rainbow trout). Its description in RNAcentral is "lncRNA (ENSOMYG00000075622.1)". The record is from RNAcentral. Lineage: Eukaryota; Metazoa; Chordata; Actinopteri; Salmoniformes; Salmonidae.
UCAAUGAGUUAUUAUUGUAACCGGGGUACUUACAGAUGACUUUACAACUAGUUUCUAUUCAAUAUUUCCCCCAAAUGCCCUUACUUCCCCUCCUGAAAAACAAUGACUCACAAAAUCUACACAACUGUUUGCCAAACUGCAAACAAUAACCACAGGCACUGGCAGUCCUAGAACCUCCAAACCUGCUCUCCCCUCUUGUACUCCCAGCAAAUACGUGGAGGUAGAGAUAAUUCUAGACUUCCAGCUGGAGCUGGAGCUGGUGAGAUAGAUAAAAAGGAAGAUAAAGAAUGUGAUGGAAAUAUGGGAAUACAGGGCAAGCUAGAUCUAGACAUGAAAAUGACAACUGAGAUAGAAACAGAGGUGGGAGUUAAGGUCCUACUACAUUGAGCAGAUGCUGCAGCCUCAUGCUCCUCCUCAGUGUCCCAGCCUGCUGAGGGAGAGAGCCAGGGUUAGCCCCCUAGGGCCCUGCUAUCUCCCCUGGGGCUGGGGCAGACCUGACCUGGGCUAGUCCCCUUGGCCACGUCAGACUCAGGAUGCUGAGCCAUGCCACUCUGAAGUCUGCACCAAGCCAGGGACAAAGGGGGAGUUAAAAGGAGUGAAAGAGAGAUGGGGAGAGGGGGAGUGUAUAGGCAGCAGGGGCAACAGAUGCCUUCUGAAACCACAGGGGACCACGGCAACUGGUGUCCUGUCCUGCUUAUCCUUCUACAGAGCGCGAACAGUAGAGGAUGAUACAUAUCACCACCAUCAUGUGACCCGGGAGUAGACCUCACUUUCACCCGUAAGCGCAGACAUGGACAUGUCCAUAAUGCUCUGUCACUCACUCACUUUAUAUUCUGACUUGCUCCCCAUUCUCUCUCUCUCCCCCCCUCACACACACCCUAACCACCUGCUGUUCACUCAGAACUGUUUGGUAAUAGUGAUGGAGUGGAUUCCUCCCCAUACAAACCCUGAGGAAAUGAGGAAAGACUUCACUGAGAUGCUUUGGUCUAACUCACCUACGCUUUCAUUAUCAUCCAGGAAACAAUGUGGCAGCCAGACUAGCACAAUAGGAAUCCCAGUUGUCACGAACCGGCUCAAAGCCCGUAACAAAAGGGGGACAACGUGGAGA